GAUGAACGCUGGCGGCGUGCUUAACACAUGCAAGUCGAACGAAGCACUUUAUUUGAUUUCCUUCGGGACUGAUUAUUUUGUGACUGAGUGGCGGACGGGUGAGUAACGCGUGGGUAACCUGCCUUUUACAGGGGGAUAACAGUUGGAAACGGCUGCUAAUACCGCAUAAGCGCCCAGCAUCGCAGGAUGCAGUGUGAAAAACUCCGGUGGUAUAAGAUGGACCCGCGUUGGAUUAGCUAGUUGGUGAGGUAACGGCCCACCAAGGCGACGAUCCAUAGCCGACCUGCGAAGGUGCCCGGCCACAUUGGGACUGAGGCACCGCCCAGACUCCUACGGGAGGCAGCAGUGGCGAAUCUUGCACAAUGGGCGAAAGCCUGAUGCAGCGACGCCGCGUGAGCGAAGAAGUAUUUCGGUAUGUAAAUCUCUAUCAGCAGAGAAGAUAAUGGCGGUACCUGACUAAGAAGCACCGGCUAAAUACGUG
RNAcentral lists this ribosomal RNA (481 nucleotides) under uncultured bacterium. Its description in RNAcentral is "partial 16S ribosomal RNA". It matches the Rfam family "Bacterial small subunit ribosomal RNA", at positions 28 to 507 of the family's 1533-position model. The record is from RNAcentral.